AUUUGGCUGUCGAUUUUCAUAAAAUGGCAACGCUGCUUGACAGUUUCCCCGAAAGUACGUCUGCUCGCUUGUUCCCCAAAACGUCAGAAUUUUCGUUCGUUCACCUUCAUCGUUAGUUAUAGUUAUAGACAAGUUGGUUAAUAGACUUUAUUUCUGCAUGUGCUAAAAUGUGAAAGAAACCAAAUCGGUCAAUUGCGAAAUUUCCCGUUUUCAUUCAGUUUUCUCUUUUUUCUCGGUUACCCACCUGAGCUGUACGUUAGUCACUUCACGCGUCAAGAUUUGGAUUUUUCUUCAUUUAAACAGGAGGAAACGUAAAAGAGUCGUGCAGUCUACUGUCAACUAUUUUGUUCAAAUCAUUGUAUUUUACUAAAUGUGCCAUCAAAAUGAUACAGGAUUCGACAUAAUUAUAUGCUGUGUGUAUUGGACUUGCUAGAUCACUAACCCCAGCAUGGAACAAUCUCUCAUUCCAUCAUCUGGAUAACUGAUCAGUGGUUUCAUGUAUUCUAAACUGCUGGUUUCUAAAUUUGCAUGGCAGACUUUAUGAAAAGUCCUGUCAUUUCAAGAAAGCCAACAAGGUCCGUUGUUUGCUGACCUGUUGGCUGCUACCCUUGAAUCCUCCUUAUUGACUUCUUUACACAGGCCCUCCUGAUUUGAGAGUAAUCCUUCGCUACUGAUCAUGGACUUCAUCCAUUGGUGAAAACCGACGCGAGAAUGUUGUAAUUGAAGACUGAUAAAUUGUGUAGUUAGAUUCUAUUACAAGUGCAUAUCUGGGCUCCCUUCUUUUCUGUGGCCCCGUUUCCCUAACUAACCACUAACCAACGCCCGCCGGUGGUCACUCACCCG
Molecule: long non-coding RNA, 843 nt
Filed under: Daphnia pulicaria
Lineage: Eukaryota; Metazoa; Arthropoda; Branchiopoda; Diplostraca; Daphniidae
Description: uncharacterized LOC124314944, transcript variant X3
Source: RNAcentral